GUCCACGCCGUAAACGAUGGAUGCUAGCCGUUGGUAAGCAUGCUUAUCAGUGGCGCAGCUAACGCAUUAAGCAUCCCGCCUGGGGAGUACGGCCGCAAGGUUGAAACUCAAAGGAAUUGACGGGGGCCCGCACAAGCGGUGGAGCAUGUGGUUUAAUUCGACGCAACGCGCAGAACCUUACCAGGGUUUGACAUCCUGUGCUCACCGGAGAGAUCCGGUUUCCCCGCAAGGGGCGCAGAGACAGGUGCUGCAUGGCUGUCGU
This 262-nucleotide ribosomal RNA is filed under the name uncultured bacterium. Its description in RNAcentral is "partial 16S ribosomal RNA". It matches the Rfam family "Bacterial small subunit ribosomal RNA", at positions 793 to 1055 of the family's 1533-position model. The record is from RNAcentral.